Prunus avium (sweet cherry) is the source of this 1100-nucleotide non-coding RNA. The record is from RefSeq and is a predicted model, not a curated record. NCBI's taxonomy places the organism in Eukaryota, Viridiplantae, Streptophyta, Magnoliopsida, Rosales, Rosaceae.
CUCUUUCUUUCGAUUUUUUGUCUUUUUCCCCCGUUUCGUUUUUCCUUUUUGGCCGUAACGUGCGCGCAGGGCCGUCCCGGUGCACGUUAGAAAAAAACUUGGGGUUUCGGCGCACGUUACGCUGUGUAGAGCUACCAAGUAGCGAAGGGCUAGUCAACUAGAAGUUGAGCCAAUUAGGUUGGUAGUUGGUCAAAAUGGUCAACGGCUUUUUUUUUUAAUGAAUGGAUCGGGACCGUCUAUUUUCGGUGUUCUUAGAUGCAGCUUAGAAUAUGCCCUCUGGAUUUUUUUUUCCAUUUUCGGAUAAGAAUGGGUGGGGGGCGCCUUUUCGAGUCACAGCGCAACAGCAAUGCAUUUACCAAAUGGUCUUAAUGGGUAGACUGGCCAGUGAUAUCUUGUUGGGCGUUGCUUCCCAUUUGCGUGACGUGGCGUGGUUUGAUUGGCUUGGGGGUCGAAGUCGGUGGAAUCCAAAGACAUGGCACCGUUGGUCUUGGUGAACCUCGUCCGUUGGUCUAGGUGGUCGUGUUUUCAACAUCUGCCUCUUUUUUCUCUUCGUGGGAAGAAAAUAAGAGGAGAGUCGGCAAAGAUUCCAGAAAUAUCAUUGAUAAAAGCAAAAAAAACUCGAUUACAUGCUUAAUUUGCGCGUAUUUAGUUUUAUAAUUUUAUUUGUUGAAAUCGUGCUUACUUGAAUUUCAUUAAUGUCUAAGUUCUCAUCAUAUUUUUCCCAUAUUAAUUGCUCUCAAAUCAUCUAGCUUCUAUAUUAAGAUAAUUCUAUAUAAGGAAAAGAAAAUCAAAAUAGGGGUUUUGUUUAUUUUUAUUUUCUACCCUGCACGUGACUUGCUUAGAUAAUGAUGACAAUAAAGUCAUGGAUGGCAAUCUAUGAUUUGUCUGAUCCCCCUUUCCUUUGUUUACAUCAUCACAACUUGACACCCUAGGAUGAUCAAGCCCAUUCUCGCACUGAGCCAAGGCCUUGGGUCCUACAAGUGAGAAGAAAAAAAGAAAGAAAGUCUAGUCCACAAGAAAAUGGCCUUGAUUUGCAUACCAGUGGAUCUCAGGUUCGAACCCCUAUGGCAUAGCGUGUGUGAGAAACCCUGAAUUUUAUA